GGUUAAGCGACUAAGCGUACACGGUGGAUGCCCCGGCAGUCAGAGGCGAUGAAGGACGUGCUAAUCUGCGAUAAGCGUCGGUAAGGUGAUAUGAACCGUUAUAACCGGCGAUUUCCGAAUGGGGAAACCCAGUGUGUUUCGACACACUAUCAUUAACUGAAUCCAUAGGUUAAUGAGGCGAACCGGGGGAACUGAAACAUCUAAGUACCCCGAGGAAAAGAAAUCAACCGAGAUUCCCCCAGUAGCGGCGAGCGAACGGGGAGGAGCCCAGAGCCUGAAUCAGUGUGUGUGUUAGUGGAAGCGUCUGGAAAGGCGCGCGAUACAGGGUGACAGCCCCGUACACAAAAAUGCACAUACUGUGAGCUCGAUGAGUAGGGCGGGACACGUGGUAUCCUGUCUGAAUAUGGGGGACCAUCCUCCAAGGCUAAAUACUCCUGACUGACCGAUAGUGAACCAGUACCGUGAGGGAAAGGCGAAAAGAACCCCGGCGAGGGGAGUGAAAAAGAACCUGAAACCGUGUACGUACAAGCAGUGGGAGCCUCUUUUAUGGGGUGACUGCGUACCUUUUGUAUAAUGGGUCAGCGACUUAUAUUCUGUAGCAAGGUUAACCGAAUAGGGGAGCCGAAGGGAAACCGAGUCUUAACUGGGCGUUAAGUUGCAGGGUAUAGACCCGAAACCCGGUGAUCUAGCCAUGGGCAGGUUGAAGGUUGGGUAACACUAACUGGAGGACCGAACCGACUAAUGUUGAAAAAUUAGCGGAUGACUUGUGGCUGGGGGUGAAAGGCCAAUCAAACCGGGAGAUAGCUGGUUCUCCCGAAAGCUAUUUAGGUAGCGCCUCGUGAAUUCAUCUCCGGGGGUAGAGCACUGUUUCGGCAAGGGGGUCAUCCCGACUUACCAACCCGAUGCAAACUGCGAAUACCGGAGAAUGUUAUCACGGGAGACACACGGCGGGUGCUAACGUCCGUCGUGAAGAGGGAAACAACCCAGACCGCCAGCUAAGGUCCCAAAGUCAUGGUUAAGUGGGAAACGAUGUGGGAAGGCCCAGACAGCCGGGAUGUUGGCUUAGAAGCAGCCAUCAUUUAAAGAAAGCGUAAUAGCUCACUGGUCGAGUCGGCCUGCGCGGAAGAUGUAACGGGGCUAAACCAUGCACCGAAGCUGCGGCAGCGACGCUUAUGCGUUGUUGGGUAGGGGAGCGUUCUGUAAGCCUGUGAAGGUGUACUGUGAGGUAUGCUGGAGGUAUCAGAAGUGCGAAUGCUGACAUAAGUAACGAUAAAGCGGGUGAAAAGCCCGCUCGCCGGAAGACCAAGGGUUCCUGUCCAACGUUAAUCGGGGCAGGGUGAGUCGACCCCUAAGGCGAGGCCGAAAGGCGUAGUCGAUGGGAAACAGGUUAAUAUUCCUGUACUUGGUGUUACUGCGAAGGGGGACGGAGAAGGCUAUGUUACUGGGCGACGGUUGUCCCGGUUUAAGCGUGUAGGCUGGUUUUCCGGGCAAAUCCGGAAAAUCAAGGCUGAGGCGUGAUGACGAGGCACUACGGUGCUGAAGCAACAAAUGCCCUGCUUCCGGGAAAGCCUCUAAGCAUCAGGUAACAUCAAAUCGUACCCCAAACCGACACAGGUGGUCAGGUAGAGAAUACCAAGGCGCUUGAGAGAACUCGGGUGAAGGAACUAGGCAAAAUGGUGCCGUAACUUCGGGAGAAGGCACGCUGAUAUGUAGGUGAAGCGACUUGCUCGUGGAGCUGAAAUCAGUCGAAGAUACCAGCUGGCUGCAACUGUUUAUUAAAAACACAGCACUGUGCAAACACGAAAGUGGACGUAUACGGUGUGACGCCUGCCCGGUGCCGGAAGGUUAAUUGAUGGGGUUAGCGGUAACGCGAAGCUCUUGAUCGAAGCCCCGGUAAACGGCGUACGUAACUAUAACGGUCCUAAGGUAGCGAAAUUCCUUGUCGGGUAAGUUCCGACCUGCACGAAUGGCGUAAUGAUGUACGGAGCUGUCUCCACCCGAGACUCAGUGAAAUUGAACUCGCUGUGAAGAUGCAGUGUACCCGCGGCAAGACGGAAAGACCCCGUGAACCUUUACUAUAGCUUGACACUGAACAUUGAGCCUUGAUGUGUAGGAUAGGUGGGAGGCUUUGAAGUGUGGACGCCAGUCUGCAUGGAGCCGACCUUGAAAUACCACCCUUUAAUGUUUGAUGUUCUAACGUUGGCCCCUGAUCGGGGUUGCGGACAGUGUCUGGUGGGUAGUUUGACUGGGGCGGUCUCCUCCUAAAGAGUAACGGAGGAGCACGAAGGUUGGCUAAUCCUGGUCGGACAUCAGGAGGUUAGUGCAAUGGCAUAAGCCAGCUUGACUGCGAGCGUGACGGCGCGAGCAGGUGCGAAAGCAGGUCAUAGUGAUCCGGUGGUUCUGAAUGGAAGGGCCAUCGCUCAACGGAUAAAAGGUACUCCGGGGAUAACAGGCUGAUACCGCCCAAGAGUUCAUAUCGACGGCGGUGUUUGGCACCUCGAUGUCGGCUCAUCACAUCCUGGGGCUGAAGUAGGUCCCAAGGGUAUGGCUGUUCGCCAUUUAAAGUGGUACGCGAGCUGGGUUUAGAACGUCGUGAGACAGUUCGGUCCCUAUCUGCCGUGGGCGCUGGAGAACUGAGGGGGCUGCUCCUAGUACGAGAGGACCGGAGUGGACGCAUCACUGGUGUUCGGGUUGUCAUGCCAAUGGCACUGCCCGGUAGCUAAAUGCGGAAGAGAUAAGUGCUGAAAGCAUCUAAGCACGAAACUUGCCCCGAGAUGAGUUCUCCCUGAGACUUUAAGUCUCCUGAAGGAACGUUGAAGACGACGACGUUGAUAGGCCGGGUGUGUAAGCGCAGCGAUGCGUUGAGCUAACCGGUACUAAUGAACCGUGAGGCUUAACCUU
This 2901-nucleotide ribosomal RNA is filed under the name Escherichia coli. RNAcentral's name for it is "23S ribosomal RNA". It matches the Rfam family "Bacterial large subunit ribosomal RNA". The record is from RNAcentral. Lineage: Bacteria; Pseudomonadati; Pseudomonadota; Gammaproteobacteria; Enterobacterales; Enterobacteriaceae.